AGUGUGGCGGGUCUCUCAGGAACGCAUAUUUUCUUUUCGGAUUCUCCGAGAAGGGGUGGAGUAACAGGAUGGGAACCGGAUUGGUUGCAGUGUGGCACAGACCUGGAACCUUCCUGAAAGAGGUUGGGGCAGGCAGUGACUGUUCAGACGUCCAAUCUCUUUGGGACACCUCUUCAGCGCUGUCUUCCCUGCCUCUGCCUUUAGGACGAGUCUCAAACACCAACAAACGCAAGGCACGUCCCCCCUCUCAGGUCAGCUGCGAAGGCAUGGGAGCAAGAGAGAGCCUCUCCCUCCUUCUACUUAGAGUUUUUGUUUGUUUGUUUGUUUGUUUCAAAUAUUAAUGGAAGAUAAAACAACACGGAUUUGUCACCUCCUAGCGAAGGGGAAGCCACCGCCACCACACCCCUCAAGCAUGCCCGGGCACUCCUGGGGACAAUCGGACGUGGCAGGAGUUGGCAUGCCCAAGAUGAAGCUGGGAAGGAUGACCCAGAGUGGAAGGCGUGGGCUGGGGCUCCAGGUCUCAGCUCUCGCCAGCGUCGGACCACACAGCUUUGCCAGCUUUGCACCUUGCCUUUCCUUCUUGUGAGGCAUCUGGGACCGUCCUAUCAAGGCGCUUCAAAGGUGGAAGGACAGAGUGCUGGGGACAAGAACGUACCAGGCGCCCAGAAGAUUCCACUAGCGCGGCCAAACACUAAGACCAGGUUUCCUCCCUGCGUGGUGGUCGUUGGUUGUGCACGGGCUGCGCAGGAAGACUGAAUUCCUGAGAAAUGGAAACUGCAUGAGAAAAAUCAAAUAAACUUAGAGGCCUGUGAAGCUCUCCCUCUUGUCGCUCUGGGACCGCUCUAAGCUGAGCUACAUCUCAGAUACCUUCUCCCCCUGGAGGAUGGGCCUUUCUCAGGCACGAAGUGCGUGUGCCCCACUGGGCUCUUGCCCACAAGAGCAGUCUGAACCCUGGAGAGGCUGACACCGAGGUGUCUUGAAGGAAGCAGGCACACUCUCAUGCUUCCCCACCUAGGGUUUUGCCUUUCUUCUAAUAUUUAGGAUUCCCAGUGAAGGGUACUCCACACACACCCUCUCCCUACCCCUAAUCCCACCCCAUUGUGUCUGAUCCCACAAUUACUCCCAGGGUAUCUAUACUCAACAGCUUUUGCGCUCAAAGAACAUUGUCGUCUGCAGGGAACGGGUGGAGCCCUUCUCAGAAGCUCCCGGGGGCGAGUCCAUUUUAAGAAUGAGUUGAAGUAGGAAAGAAAACACAGAUGCUGUCUUUGCAUUCGACAUUCUAUCACCAGCAAGAGAAUAUGUAACUCCUGUUCUUUCCUUCAUUAUUCCAUGAAUUACCUUUUUUCUCUAGGGAUCUACCAGUUGGUGAUUUAGGGCUUUUAAAUAUUAUGCUUGUUAUGUAUUUAACAAAAUGCAAUAUGUCUACUGGUGGCAUUGUUUCCUUGGGAAAUUAGAAAAGUAGAAACUACAUACUCUAGUUCCUAGGUGGUCUCUGGAAAGUUGGCCUCAUGCUGGUUGGCUAAAUAAUAAGUGUUUAGGAUUUGAAAGGAAGAAAGAGAGCUGAAGGCCUGGUGACAGAGUUUGUGAGAAACAGAAGAUGUAACACUCUGGCAUUUGUUGAGGGGAUGAGGUAGAACUUUUGAAAAAUAAGCUAUUCUAUUCAGUUUUGUGCAAAUUUAUUGCAGUUGCUUCAUAGAGGAAGAAUAAUGUUUAGAAUGGAAUAAUUGCAAAUGCUAGUGAUGAAAUCUAAAGGAAACCUCUACUCAUAGUUAACUGAAAGUAUUUUUGUUGUUGUUGUUUAAAUACUUAUCUCAUUGCUUUCUUUCCUUUGCAGAAUUAUUUUCCUAUAAUAGUUUCCAUUAGGUGUCAGUCUGAACUGGUUCUUACUUAAGUUAGGGGUGAAAAUGUUCCAUCAUCACACCUUUUAAGAUAAGAAAGUGGGAAAAAUUAAAGCUGUAUUAAGUUGAAAUUACUGGAGUUAAUUUUUAUUGUUAAAGGCAGCUUUUUUCUUCCCAGAAAAAAUAAUUUUAAAUUAUGUCGCCACUAGUCAAUGACUGCUUUUGCCCUGUCACUGUCCAUAGCCAUGAUUAAAGAAGUACAAAAU
This 2104-nucleotide long non-coding RNA is filed under the name Pan troglodytes (chimpanzee). RNAcentral's name for it is "lincRNA". The record is from RNAcentral. Lineage: Eukaryota; Metazoa; Chordata; Mammalia; Primates; Hominidae.